Molecule: ribosomal RNA, 203 nt
Filed under: uncultured bacterium
Lineage: Bacteria
Description: partial 16S ribosomal RNA
Rfam family: Bacterial small subunit ribosomal RNA
Source: RNAcentral
CCAUAACUCGGGGAUAGCCUUUCGAAAGAAAGAUUAAUAUCCGAUAGCAUAUAUUUCCCGCAUGGGUUUUAUAUUAAAGAAAUUCGGUAUGAGAUGGGGAUGCGUUCCAUUAGUUUGUUGGGGGGGUAACGGCCCACCAAGACUACGAUGGAUAGGGGUUCUGAGAGGAAGGUCCCCCACAUUGGAACUGAGACACGGUCCAA